RNAcentral lists this non-coding RNA (24 nucleotides) under Arabidopsis thaliana (thale cress). The record is from RNAcentral. Lineage: Eukaryota; Viridiplantae; Streptophyta; Magnoliopsida; Brassicales; Brassicaceae.
UGAUGUCUUGUAUUGUUGUUUCAA